GACGAACGCGGCGGCGUGCCUAAUACAUGCAAGUCGAACGCACGAAGUUGAAGAGCUUGCUCUUUAACCAAGUGAGUGGCGGACGGGUGAGUAACACGUGGGUAACCUGCCCAUUAGAGGGGGAUAACAUUCGGAAACGGAUGCUAAUACCGCAUAGUUUCAGGAAUCGCAUGAUUCUUGAAGGAAAGGUGGCUUCGGCUACCACUAAUGGAUGGACCCGCGGCGUAUUAGCUAGUUGGUGAGGUAAUGGCUCACCAAGGCAAUGAUACGUAGCCGACCUGAGAGGGUGAUCGGCCACACUGGGACUGAGACACGGCCCAGACUCCUACGGGAGGCAGCAGUAGGGAAUCUUCCGCAAUGGACGAAAGUCUGACGGAGCAACGCCGCGUGAGUGAAGAAGGUUUUCGGAUCGUAAAACUCUGUUGUUAAAGAAGAACAAGGAUGAGAGUAACUGCUCAUCCCCUGACGGUAUUUAACCAGAAAGCCACGGCUAACUACGUGCCAGCAGCCGCGGUAAUACGUAGGUGGCAAGCGUUGUCCGGAUUUAUUGGGCGUAAAGCGAGCGCAGGCGGUUCUUUAAGUCUGAUGUGAAAGCCCCCGGCUCAACCGGGGAGGGUCAUUGUAAACUGGAGAACUUGAGUGCAGAAGAGGAGAGUGGAAUUCCACGUGUAGCGGUGAAAUGCGUAGAUAUGUGGAGGAACACCAGUGGCGAAGGCGACUCUCUGGUCUGUAACUGACGCUGAGGCUCGAAAGCGUGGGGAGCAAACAGG
Molecule: ribosomal RNA, 770 nt
Filed under: uncultured Vagococcus sp.
Lineage: Bacteria; Bacillati; Bacillota; Bacilli; Lactobacillales; Enterococcaceae
Description: bacterial SSU rRNA
Rfam family: Bacterial small subunit ribosomal RNA
Source: RNAcentral